Molecule: long non-coding RNA, 1122 nt
Filed under: Salvia miltiorrhiza (redroot sage)
Lineage: Eukaryota; Viridiplantae; Streptophyta; Magnoliopsida; Lamiales; Lamiaceae
Description: long non-coding RNA (SMIL_LNC005935)
Source: RNAcentral
UAUAUAUAUAUAUAUUUACUUAACUUUUGGGCCCUGAUAGCAGCCCAAGUCCAAGUGCCCACUACCCAUUACCAAACUAUCUUAUCUCUCACUCUAUUUCCUACGGACCAGACCAGAACACCCCCUCCCCCCCAACCGUCUCUCUCUCUCUUCUCUUUCACAACGUCUCUCUCUCAAUCUCUGACUUCUCUCUCUCUCUCAGUCUCUCUCCUAACUCUGCUCUAGCUCUCUCAUUUCUCAAGGUAUUCGAUUGAAAUUAAAUUUCAAUUUGUUUAUCUGCUGCUCCAUCCCUGCCAUUUGAGUUUGACUAAAAUUAAAGUGUGAAGAAGGAAGGUAUUUUUUCGAUUUUUCAGAAUUUCGAAAUUAAAUACUCCCAAGGAUUUCUUCAUCUUAAUUUCUGAUUCAUUUAAUUUCUGGUUUAUUUUAUCUUUGGUUAUUUUGAUUAAAUUUGUGUGAUUACAUAUAAUAUGUUGCCUAGAAAAUAUGCAUCAAGAAGUAAAAAAAAAAUAAAAGAAAAAUAAUUGAUGAGGUGAUUAAAACUCAAAGAAGAGCUCUUCAUAAGUUUCUUAUACCAAGUUCUAUUUCUUCGGUGAAAGAAGUAGAAGUGAUAAAUCUGACAUUGAUGCUGAAGAUUUAUAUUCUGAAUUGCAAGUGCUACAAAUGUGUUUACCAUCUGAAACAAAGUCUCUUGGUGAGGUUCUUGAGUUUGUUAAAGUUUCAGAUUGAUUUCCCAAUAUUUCUAUUGCAUAUAGAAUAUUGUUGACUAUACCAAUUACUAUAGCUUCAGCACAAAGAAGUUUUUCAAAAUUAAAAUUGAUAAAAUCAUAUUUUUGUUCUACUGUCUCAAAAAAGGUUGAAUGGAUUAGCAGUUUUAUGCAUUGAACAUGAGGUAUUAGAAAAGCUUGACCUUGAAGAAAUUAUUGAUGAUUUUGCGUCUCAAAAUGCUAGAAGAUCUAAGUUAUUUUUAUAAUUAUUUUAUCAUUGUUAGUUUAUUGCACUUUAUGGUCAAUGUUACAGGUUUACAGCCAUUUCAAAUUUGCUACAACUUCUCGAAGCUUCUUCUUUUAGGGGGCCUUUUUUUCCUUUUCGCCUAGUGCCCCCGGAAUAUCAGGGCCGGCCCUG